AUACGGAGGGUGCAAGCGUUAAUCGGAAUUACUGGGCGUAAAGCGCGCGUAGGCGGUUUGAUAAGUCGGAUGUGAAAUCCCCGGGCUCAACCUGGGAAUUGCAUUUGAUACUGUCAGGCUAGAGUGUGGUAGAGGGAAGUGGAAUUUCCGGUGUAGCGGUGAAAUGCGUAGAUAUCGGAAGGAACACCAGUGGCGAAGGCGGCUUCCUGGACCAACACUGACGCUGAGGUGCGAAAGCGUGGGGAGCAAACAGGAUUAGAAACCCUAGUAGUCC
This 274-nucleotide ribosomal RNA is filed under the name uncultured bacterium. Its description in RNAcentral is "partial 16S ribosomal RNA". It matches the Rfam family "Bacterial small subunit ribosomal RNA", at positions 523 to 796 of the family's 1533-position model. The record is from RNAcentral.